AACGCUGGUUCCGUGCCUAAGAAAGCAAGUCGAACGAGAAAGGGGAGCAAUCCCUGAGUAAAGUGUCCCCCGGGUGAGUAACACGUGACUACCUACCUUUUAGUGGGGGAUAACUCCGGGAAACCGGAGCUAAUACCGCAUAACAUCGGUGCUCGCAAGAGUGACGAUCAAAGCAGCAAUGCGCUGGAAGAGGGGGUCGCGGCUGAUUAGCUAGUUGGUGAGGUAAUGGCUCGCCAAGGCGAAGAUCGGUAUCCGGCCUGAGAGGGCGCACGGACACACUGGAACUGAAACACGGUCCAGACUCCUACGGGAGGCAGCAGUGGG
This 324-nucleotide small RNA is filed under the name uncultured bacterium. Its description in RNAcentral is "bacterial SSU rRNA". It matches the Rfam family "Bacterial small subunit ribosomal RNA", at positions 32 to 358 of the family's 1533-position model. The record is from RNAcentral.